AUUGAGGGGAGUUGCUCCUAGUACGAGAGGACCGGAGUGAACGGACCGCUGGUCUCCCUGCUGUCGUACCAACGGCACAUGCAGGGUAGCUAUGUCCGGAACGGAUAACCGCUGAAAGCAUCUAAGCGGGAAGCCAGCCCCAAGAUGAGUUCUCCCACUGUUUAUCAGGUAAGACUCCCGGAAGACCACCGGGUUAAGAGGCCAGGCGUGCACGCAUAGCAAUGUGUUCAGCGGACUGGUGCUCAUCAGUCG
RNAcentral lists this ribosomal RNA (252 nucleotides) under Plesiomonas shigelloides. RNAcentral's name for it is "partial 23S ribosomal RNA". It matches the Rfam family "Bacterial large subunit ribosomal RNA", at positions 2661 to 2911 of the family's 2925-position model. The record is from RNAcentral. Lineage: Bacteria; Pseudomonadati; Pseudomonadota; Gammaproteobacteria; Enterobacterales; Enterobacteriaceae.